Molecule: microRNA, 22 nt
Filed under: Aedes aegypti (yellow fever mosquito)
Lineage: Eukaryota; Metazoa; Arthropoda; Insecta; Diptera; Culicidae
Also listed under: 2 other names
Description: aae-miR-9c-3p
Gene: aae-miR-9c-3p
Source: miRBase by way of RNAcentral
UAAAGCUUUAGUACCAGAGGUC